Molecule: ribosomal RNA, 253 nt
Filed under: uncultured bacterium
Lineage: Bacteria
Description: partial 16S ribosomal RNA
Rfam family: Bacterial small subunit ribosomal RNA
Source: RNAcentral
UACGUAGGGUGCAAGCGUUAAUCGGAAUUACUGGGCGUAAAGCGUGCGCAGGCGGCUUUGCAAGACAGAUGUGAAAUCCCCGGGCUUAACCUGGGAACUGCAUUUGUGACUGCAUGGCUGGAGUGCGGCAGAGGGGGAUGGAAUUCCGCGUGUAGCAGUGAAAUGCGUAGAUAUGCGGAGGAACACCGAUGGCGAAGGCAAUCCCCUGGGCCUGCACUGACGCUCAUGCACGAAAGCGUGAGGAGCAAACAGG